This 286-nucleotide ribosomal RNA is filed under the name uncultured Lachnospiraceae bacterium. RNAcentral describes it as "partial 16S ribosomal RNA". The stretch from base 48 to 286 matches the Rfam family "Bacterial small subunit ribosomal RNA", at positions 100 to 339 of the family's 1533-position model. Lineage: Bacteria; Bacillati; Bacillota; Clostridia; Lachnospirales; Lachnospiraceae. The record is from RNAcentral.
ACCUUAUUUGAUUUUCUUCGGAACUGAAGAUUUGGUGAUUGAGUGGCGGACGAGUGAGUAACGCGUGGGUAACCUACCCUGUACAGGGGGAUAACAGUCAGAAAUGACUGCUAAUACCGCAUAAGACCACGGUACCGCAUGGUACAGUGGUAAAAACUCCGGUGGUAUGAGAUGGACCCGCGUCUGAUUAGCCAGUUGGCGGGGUGACGGCCCACCAAAGCGACGAUCAGUAGCCGACCUGAGAGGGUGACCGGCCACAUUGGGACUGAGACACGGCCCAAACUCC